GAUGAACGCUGGCGGCGUGCCUAAUACAUGCAAGUCGAGCGAACAGACGAGAGUGCUUGCACUCUCUGACGUUAGCGGCGGACGGGUGAGUAACAUGUGGGUAACCUACCUAUAAGACUGGGAUAACUUCGGGAAACCGGAGCUAAUACCGGAUAAUAUUUAGCUUCGCAUGAAGCAAUAGUGAAAGACGGUUCUGCUGUCACUUAUAGAUGGACCCGCGGUGUAUUAGCUAGUUGGUGAGGUAACGGCUCACCAAGGCAACGAUACAUAGCCGACCUGAGAGGGUGAUCGGCCACACUGGGACUGAGACACGGCCCAGACUCCUACGGGAGGCAGCAGUAGGGAAUCUUCCGCAAUGGACGAAAGUCUGACGGAGCAAUGCCGCGUGAGUGAAGAAGGUUUUCGGAUCGUAAAACUCUGUUGUAAGGGAAGAACAAGUACGUUAGUAACUGAACGUACCUUGACGGUACCUUACCAGAAAGCCACGGCUAACUACG
This 497-nucleotide ribosomal RNA is filed under the name uncultured bacterium. RNAcentral's name for it is "partial 16S ribosomal RNA". It matches the Rfam family "Bacterial small subunit ribosomal RNA", at positions 28 to 505 of the family's 1533-position model. The record is from RNAcentral.